GACAGAGGGUGCAAACGUUGUUCGGAAUUACUGGGCGUAAAGCGCGUGUAGGCGGUUUGGUAAGUCGGAUGUGAAAGCCCGGGGCUCAACCUCGGAAGUGCAUUCGAUACUACCAUACUCGAGUACUGGAGAGGAUGGUGGAACUCUCGGUGUAGAGGUGAAAUUCGUAGAUAUCGAGAAGAACACCGGUGGCGAAGGCGGCCAUCUGGACAGAUACUGACGCUGAGACGCGAAAGCGUGGGGAG
This 245-nucleotide ribosomal RNA is filed under the name uncultured bacterium. RNAcentral's name for it is "partial 16S ribosomal RNA". It matches the Rfam family "Bacterial small subunit ribosomal RNA", at positions 524 to 768 of the family's 1533-position model. The record is from RNAcentral.